Long non-coding RNA from Pieris brassicae (large cabbage white), 344 nucleotides. RefSeq lists it as uncharacterized. Lineage: Eukaryota; Metazoa; Arthropoda; Insecta; Lepidoptera; Pieridae. The record is from RefSeq and is a predicted model, not a curated record. The transcript has 2 exons.
UACUGUUGAAUUGGAGGGUUCAGUUUUGGUAGCAAUUACUUGGGAAAUUUAUUUUUAUUGAGUAAUAUUGAUGAGUGACGUAACUUUUGUUAUAGAUGAGAUCCGAUCCGAUAAAAAAGCUAAUUGGACAGUAAAAUCGUGAUAAAGUUGAAUGGAUUACUGGAGUUGAAUGCGUUUUACGGCACUUUCGCACCACCGUGCGUUAAAAAAAUACACACUUUCCUCAUAGGCAACACAUCCGGAAGUCCCUGACGCUGCAGGUGUAUGGACACGGCAGCAGUUAGCACUUUAUUAAGAGUAAUAUUCGUUUGUUUUCUGUCGUGAAUAUAUUUCACUAAUGUGUA